This 451-nucleotide ribosomal RNA is filed under the name uncultured bacterium. Its description in RNAcentral is "bacterial SSU rRNA". It matches the Rfam family "Bacterial small subunit ribosomal RNA", at positions 340 to 783 of the family's 1533-position model. The record is from RNAcentral.
UACGGAAGGCAGCAGUGGGGAAUAUUGCACAAUGGGCGCAAGCCUGAUGCAGCCAUGCCGCGUGUAUGAAGAAGGCCUUCGGGUUGUAAAGUACUUUCAGUCGUGAGGAAGGUGUUAAGGUUAAUAACCUUAGCAAUUGACGUUAGCGACAGAAGAAGCACCGGCUAACUCCGUGCCAGCAGCCGCGGUAAUACGGAGGGUGCGAGCGUUAAUCGGAAUUACUGGGCGUAAAGGGCACGCAGGCGGUUAAUUAAGUUGGAUGUGAAAUCCCCGGGCUUAACCUGGGAAUGGCAUUCAAGACUGGUUAGCUAGAGUCUUGUAGAGGGGGUAGAAUUCCAUGUGUAGCGGUGAAAUGCGUAGAGAUGUGGAGGAAUACCGGGUGGCGAAGGCGGCCCCUGGGCAAAGGCUGACGCUCAUGUGCGAAAGCGUGGGGAGCAAACGAGGAUUAGAU